Long non-coding RNA from Arabidopsis thaliana (thale cress), 484 nucleotides. RefSeq annotates it as other RNA. Lineage: Eukaryota; Viridiplantae; Streptophyta; Magnoliopsida; Brassicales; Brassicaceae. The transcript has a single exon. The record is from RefSeq.
AUAGACCGUUUAGAUUGGGUCCUAUAUUAAAACAACAAGGUCAAGUGUUGAGCAACAAUGUGACGCAAAUCACAUUCUACAAAAGCUACGAAAACAAUAGAAACCAUUGAGCAACAGUGUUUUCUAAUUUCACGCAAUUUCAAGAAAAAAUGAGAAUCUGUGACGCAACUAGCUCAAAUCAUUGUUGUAUCAUUACUUAGAAUUCGAGAAUCAAGUUCCACAAAAAUGCGAAAAGUUGUAUAUAAAAACCUCAGAAAUUCGUCACAUGCAUUGAGCUGAAGAUUUAAGGAUAAACACGAGUAAGACAUCGAGGUUAUUGGAUCAGAUCUAUGAUCUAAUCGAAGAAUCCGUUAACCAGAUCACAUCAGAGAUUUUUGAUUAACAUGAACAAAUCGAUUAUAAAGCGAUGUAAAACAAAGGCCCGAUAAAAAUUCAGAUAAAUUGCGAAAAUCAACCAUAGAAAUAGAAUUCAAGAGUGAGAGAG